CUGUUCGAGCGUCAUUUCAACCCUCAAGCUCUGCUUGGUCUUGGGCCCUGCCGGCAACGGCUGGCCUCAAAAGUAGUGGCGGUGCAUCGUGCUCUCAGCGUAGUAAUUCUUCUCGCUGUUGGGUCCCGGUGGACGCUGGCCAGCAACCCCCCAUUUCUAAUGUUGACCUCGGAUCAGGUAGGGAUACCCGCUGAACUUAA
This 200-nucleotide unclassified non-coding RNA is filed under the name soil metagenome. RNAcentral describes it as "partial contains internal transcribed spacer 2 and large subunit ribosomal RNA". The record is from RNAcentral.